Molecule: ribosomal RNA, 159 nt
Filed under: Senecio lijiangensis
Lineage: Eukaryota; Viridiplantae; Streptophyta; Magnoliopsida; Asterales; Asteraceae
Description: 5.8S ribosomal RNA
Rfam family: 5.8S ribosomal RNA
About the family: 5.8S ribosomal RNA (5.8S rRNA) is a component of the large subunit of the eukaryotic ribosome. It is transcribed by RNA polymerase I as part of the 45S precursor that also contains 18S and 28S rRNA. Functionally, it is thought that 5.8S rRNA may be involved in ribosome translocation.
Source: RNAcentral
GACUCUCGGCAACGGAUAUCUUGGCUCACGCAUCGAUGAAGAACGUAGCAAAAUGCGAUACUUGGUGUGAAUUGCAGAAUCCCGUGAACCAUCGAGUUUUUGAACGCAAGUUGCGCCCGAAGCCUUUUGGCUGAGGGCACGUCUGCCUGGGCGUCACAC